GCCGCGUGGGUGAUGAAGGUCUUCGGAUUGUAAAGCCCUGUUUUCUAGGACGAUAAUGACGGUACUAGAGGAGGAAGCCACGGCUAACUACGUGCCAGCAGCCGCGGUAAUACGUAGGUGGCGAGCGUUGUCCGGAUUUACUGGGCGUAAAGGGUGCGUAGGCGGAUGUUUAAGUGGGAUGUGAAAUCCCCGGGCUUAACCUGGGGGCUGCAUUCCAAACUGGAUAUCUAGAGUGCAGGAGAGGAAAGCGGAAUUCCUAGUGUAGCGGUGAAAUGCGUAGAGAUUAGGAAGAACACCAGUGGCGAAGGCGGCUUUCUGGACUGUAACUGACGCUGAGGCACGAAAGCGUGGGUAGCAAACAGGAUUAGAUACCCUGGUAGUCCACGCCGUAAACGAUGGAUACUAGGUGUAGGGGGUAUCAACUCCCCCUGUGCCGCAGUUAACACAAUAAGUAUCCCGCCUGGGGAGUACGGUCGCAAGAUUAAAACUCAAAGGAAUUGACGGGGGCCCGCACAAGCAGCGGAGCAUGUGGUUUAAUUCGAAGCAACGCGAAGAACCUUACCUGGACUUGACAUCCCUUGCAUAGCCUAGAGAUAGGUGAAGCCCUUCGGGGCAAGGAGACAGGUGGUGCAUGGUU
Molecule: ribosomal RNA, 637 nt
Filed under: Clostridium botulinum
Lineage: Bacteria; Bacillati; Bacillota; Clostridia; Eubacteriales; Clostridiaceae
Description: bacterial SSU rRNA
Rfam family: Bacterial small subunit ribosomal RNA
Source: RNAcentral